AAGCGACCCCAGGUCAGGCGGGAACACCCGCUGAGUUU
Molecule: ribosomal RNA, 38 nt
Filed under: Catha edulis (khat)
Lineage: Eukaryota; Viridiplantae; Streptophyta; Magnoliopsida; Celastrales; Celastraceae
Description: partial 26S ribosomal RNA
Source: RNAcentral